GCUCAGGACGAACGCUGGCGGCGUGCCUAAUACAUGCAAGUAGAACGCUGAAGAGAGGAGCUUGCUCUUCUUGGAUGAGUUGCGAACGGGUGAGUAACGCGUAGGUAACCUGCCUUGUAGCGGGGGAUAACUAUUGGAAACGAUAGCUAAUACCGCAUAACAAUGGAUGACACAUGUCAUUUAUUUGAAAGGGGCAAUUGCUCCACUACAAGAUGGACCUGCGUUGUAUUAGCUAGUAGGUGAGGUAAUGGCUCACCUAGGCGACGAUACAUAGCCGACCUGAGAGGGUGAUCGGCCACACUGGGACUGAGACACGGCCCAGACUCCUACGGGAGGCAGCAGUAGGGAAUCUUCGGCAAUGGGGGCAACCCUGACCGAGCAACGCCGCGUGAGUGAAGAAGGUUUUCGGAUCGUAAAGCUCUGUUGUAAGUCAAGAACGGGUGUGAGAGUGGAAAGUUCACACUGUGACGGUAGCUUACCAGAAAGGGACGGCUAACUACGUGCCAGCAGCCGCGGUAAUACGUAGGUCCCGAGCGUUGUCCGGAUUUAUUGGGCGUAAAGCGAGCGCAGGCGGUUUGAUAAGUCUGAAGUUAAAGGCUGUGGCUCAACCAUAGUUCGCUUUGGAAACUGUCAAACUUGAGUGCAGAAGGGGAGAGUGGAAUUCCAUGUGUAGCGGUGAAAUGCGUAGAUAUAUGGAGGAACACCGGUGGCGAAAGCGGCUCUCUGGUCUGUAACUGACGCUGAGGCUCGAAAGCGUGGGGAGCGAACAGGAUUAGAUACCCUGGUAGUCCACGCCGUAAACGAUGAGUGCUAGGUGUUGGAUCCUUUCCGGGAUUCAGUGCCGCAGCUAACGCAUUAAGCACUCCGCCUGGGGAGUACGACCGCAAGGUUGAAACUCAAAGGAAUUGACGGGGGCCCGCACAAGCGGUGGAGCAUGUGGUUUAAUUCGAAGCAACGCGAAGAACCUUACCAGGUCUUGACAUCCCGAUGCUAUUUCUAGAGAUAGAAAGUUACUUCGGUACAUCGGUGACAGGUGGUGCAUGGUUGUCGUCAGCUCGUGUCGUGAGAUGUUGGGUUAAGUCCCGCAACGAGCGCAACCCCUAUUGUUAGUUGCCAUCAUUCAGUUGGGCACUCUAGCGAGACUGCCGGUAAUAAACCGGAGGAAGGUGGGGAUGACGUCAAAUCAUCAUGCCCCUUAUGACCUGGGCUACACACGUGCUACAAUGGUUGGUACAACGAGUUGCGAGUCGGUGACGGCGAGCUAAUCUCUUAAAGCCAAUCUCAGUUCGGAUUGUAGGCUGCAACUCGCCUACAUGAAGUCGGAAUCGCUAGUAAUCGCGGAUCAGCACGCCGCGGUGAAUACGUUCCCGGGCCUUGUACACACCGCCCGUCACACCACGAGAGUUUGUAACACCCGAAGUCGGUGAGGUAACCUUUUGGAGCCAGCCGCCUAAGGUGGGAC
This 1462-nucleotide ribosomal RNA is filed under the name Streptococcus thermophilus. Its description in RNAcentral is "16S ribosomal RNA". It matches the Rfam family "Bacterial small subunit ribosomal RNA". The record is from RNAcentral. Lineage: Bacteria; Bacillati; Bacillota; Bacilli; Lactobacillales; Streptococcaceae.